RNAcentral lists this long non-coding RNA (1716 nucleotides) under Zonotrichia albicollis (white-throated sparrow). RNAcentral's name for it is "lncRNA (ENSZALG00000001770.1)". The record is from RNAcentral. Lineage: Eukaryota; Metazoa; Chordata; Aves; Passeriformes; Passerellidae.
UGAGAUCCCAAAGCCCCCUGAACUCUGGGAUCCUUUCCCUGAGAUCCCCAAACCCCUCUGUGAUCUCCAGGAUGGAUUCCCAGGGAUCCCAAAGCCCCUGAUGAUCUCCAGGAUCCUUUCCAUGAAAUCCCAAAUCCUCCAGGAUCCCUUCCCAGAGAUCCCAAACCCUCACUGUGAUCUCCAGGACGGGUUCCCUGAGAUCCCAAAGCCCCCUGAACUCUGGGAUCCUUUCCCUGAGAUCCCAAAUCCCUCUGUGAUUCCAGGAUGGGUUCCCUGAGAUCCCAAAUUCUCCAGGAUGGGUUCCUAGAGAUCCCAAAGCCCCCUGAUCCUUCCCCGAGAUCCCAAAGCCCCCUGAACUCUGGGAUCCCUUCCCUGAGGUCCCAAACCCUCUGUGAUGUCCAGGAUGGGUUCCUUGAGAUCCAAAACCCUCUGUGAUCUCCAGGAUGGAUUCCCAGGGAUCCCAAAGCCCCCAAUCCUUCCCUGAGAUCCCAGCCUCCUGAGCUCCAGGAUGGGAUCCCUGAGAUCCCAAACCCCCCUGAAAUCUGGGAUCCCUUCCCUGAGAUCCAAAACUCUCUGUGAUCUCCAGGAUGGGUUCCCUGAGAUCCCAAAGCCCCCUGAUCUUCAGGAUCCUUUCCAUGAAAUCCCAAAGCCCCCUGAUCCUUCCCUGAGAUCCCAAAGCCCCCUGAGCUCUGGGAUCCCUUCCCUCAGAUCCCGAAGCCCCUGGUGAUCUCCAGGAUCCUUUCCGUGAAAUCCCAAAUUCUCCAGGAUCCCUUCCCUGAGCUCCCAAACCCCUCUGUGAUCUCCAGGAUGGGUUCCCUGAGAUCCCAAACCCCCCAAUCCUUCCCUGAGAUCCCAAAGGCCCCCGAGCUCCAGGAUGGGUUCCCAGAGAUCCCAGAUCCUCCCCGUUGGAUUCCCAAAGAUCCCAAACCCCCCUGAUCCUUCCCUGAGCUCCCAAACCCCUCAAUGACCCCUCCUGUCCCCCAACCCCGGCUGCAGGGCAGGGCCACCUNCCCCAAAAACAUUUGGGGACCCCCCAGAGACCCUGCCAGGACCAUCUGGGACCCCCACAGGAUUUUUUUGGGGUCCUCCCAGCCCAUUUUGAGCUCUCCCUACAGAUUAUUUUCAGGUCACCCCAAUACAUUUGAAGCUCCCCUGGGGGAUUUUGGGGUGCCCCAGGAUAUUUUGGGGUUCCUCAGAUGAUUUUUGGGGUCCCCCAGUUGAUUUUUUGGGGUUCCUUGGAUGGUUUUUGGGGUACUCACCACUGCUGUAAGGCCCUGAGCUGCACCCCAAAGCUGCCCCAGUACAUUUAGGAUAUUUUGGGGUUCCCAAGGUGAUUUUUGGGGGGUUUUGGGGACUCAUCACCAUCAUAGGGCCCUGAGCUGCGCCCCAAAGCUGCACCCCAGUACAUUCAGGAUAUUUGGGGUUCCCCAGGUGAUUUUUGGGGGUUUUUGGGGACUCACUGCCGCCGUAGGGCCCCGAGCUGCGCCCCCCAAAACUGCCCCAGUACAUUUAGGAUAUUUUGGGGUUCUCAAGGUGGCAUUUUUGGGGGUUUUUGGGGACUCACCGCCGCCAUAGGGCCCCGAGCAGCGCCCCCCAAAACUGCCCCAGUACAUUUAGGGGCUCUCAAGGUGGGAUUUUGGGGUUCCCCAGGUUAUUUUGGGGACUCACCGCCGCAUUAGGGCCCCAAGCUGCGCCCCAAAGCUGCCCCAGUACAUU